UACGGAGGAUGCAAGCGUUAUCCUGAUUUAUUGGGUUUAAAGGGUGCGUAGGCGGGAAAAUAAGUCAGUGGUGAAAUCCUACAGCUUAACUGUAGAAUUGCCGUUGAUACUGUUUUUCUUGAGUAUGGUCAAGGAAGGCGGAAUGUGUAAUGUAGCGGUGAAAUGCUUAGAUAUUACACAGAACACCAAUUGCGAAGGCAGCUUUCUGGCCCAUUACUGACGCUGAGGCACGAAAGCGUGGGGAGCAAACAGGAUUAGAUACCCU
Molecule: ribosomal RNA, 265 nt
Filed under: uncultured prokaryote
Description: partial 16S ribosomal RNA
Rfam family: Bacterial small subunit ribosomal RNA
Source: RNAcentral